AAUGUCAAAUACGAGCAACUAAAACGGCAAAAGAGAUUUAUUUUAAGUUGAAUUUCUUCUUCAUUUUAUUAAUUAAAAUUUUCACGUAUAUCCGGGCUGUGAAAACGAAUGAAGUUGUCGGCUUUGGCGGUUUUAUAAAAAGUCACGCAGAAAUAGCUUUCUGUGAAGUCGAAGUAAAAUUAGAUGGACUAAACCAAUGAUUUUUUCAUGUAAAUGCCAGAAUGACGUAUCAAAAAAAGACUUAUAUACGCGUAAGGUCGAGCUAUAUGAAAAGUUGAUUUUAAUACAAGCACAAAAACGAAAUGUCAUUACACUGCAGACAAAUUUUGUAUUAGUUUAUUUAAUAAUAGCCUCACUAAAAAUGCAUUAAACGAUAAAAAGGAUUACCUCCCUUCGAACGUAUUGCCCCGCCUCCACGAUGGAGUUGAGAACUAAAGGAAGUGAAACUUACCUUUCCUUACCUUACCUCGGGUAGAGCACUUGGCAUUCAGAUGCAGCUACGUUCACCAGAUGGCCGUCAAGAGCAUAGCAGCGCAAUUACCGAUAUUAAUGUCGUAUUUUCAUUCAGGCCCAUAAUACCGGGCGAAUAUGAAUUGGAAGUCGUUUGUUCGAUAUAGCAUUUCGAACAAGCAUUUAAUGGUGCUUUUGUUUAAAGAAAAGGGGGUAAGCUAAAAUUAAUCUUUUGCAGGAGGUUUGAAGUCACAUCACUUGCUUAUUUGUGGGAUAAGCAACCGACGGUAUGUCCUAAGCAAAUCGAUUGUGCUUUAGCCGAACUAUGAAUUCCAAGCAAACUAUAUAGAAAUUAGAAUUGCUUUUAAGAUUGACGGUUUCAAUUUCGAAAACCAAGUUUUAAUGGCUGUCAGAAGUUCUCCUUUAUGACCGGCUAUUAUUAAUGGCCAACAAGUGAUUUUUGCCGAUAAUAAGGGCUUUUUAAAUUUGGUGAUGGAACCUACACUAACCAAGUGGAACCACCACGCUUGAAGUUCCCUGAGCAACAAAUUCAAUCGCAAUUAAUUGCAAUUAAAUACCUCCUCAAUACCGACCGCAGCAAUCAAUGAGCCACUCUCAGGAUUUUUUACUACAGUCAAUACAAAUGCUGAAUCUGCAGUGUGGCGUACUUUUUACCAGCAGGCAAGCCCAAUGUGAAAGUUGAAAUCUGAAUGAAAGAAGAUAAAGCAAGUGGUGUCCAAUUCUACCUAUUGCAACAAAAUAUUUAAGUUAAAAACUAACCAUUAGAUGGCACAACCUUUUCACAAUUGCAAGCAAGCCUAAACGAUGCUCCCCGCUCAGUUUGCUUGGAAACUGAGGUUACUUUAAAUAAUUUAGAUGCUAGUCGUCUGCUAUGACCACACAUGUUAUUAUGUAGUUGCCUUGAAUGUCGAAAUCAGGCAGAGUUCCUGUGUGAGUUUUAAUCGUAAGCUUAACGUGCAAAGAGUUCAAAUCACGCAAAAUCGAAAAUAAAACGAGAAGGUAGCCUUCUUCUUUGACCUGAUGUUGGUUUAGGAUCAGGACGCCGGCGAAUUUCAAUUUUUUUUUUAUUUUUUUGCUCUUUUAUCUGGUUAGCUUACUUUCACAAAUCAAAUCCCAACAAACAAGAAGAACAAACGGUGGAUUGGUAUAAUAAAAAGUGCAUCAGUUCCAAGCCCUUCUCAAGCUAAAUAUAUCCCCUUUAGCAAAACUGGUGUAGGGUACCAUUUCAUUACACUAAUUAAUUACAAUAAUAAUCAAAUGUGCUUUUUCCAAGCGAGAUCUCACAGGAUAGUUACAUCUUCGAAAAUGAAUAUGCUUGUUAUUUGCAUCUUCAAACGAUCUGAUGCGCGGAAUUUUAAAGGUUGAUAUUAGUACAGUAUAUGAAAACCUUGGUCGUCACUUACGCUUAUAAAAUGAAAUUAAUUUGUUUUUUUCAUUUUGAUUUCUUAGUUCACGAUACAAUAAACUAUACAUA
Long non-coding RNA from Glossina fuscipes, 1945 nucleotides. RefSeq lists it as uncharacterized. The transcript is spliced from 3 exons. Lineage: Eukaryota; Metazoa; Arthropoda; Insecta; Diptera; Glossinidae. The record is from RefSeq and is a predicted model, not a curated record.